AGCGAACGCUGGCGGCAGGCCUAACACAUGCAAGUCGAACGAACUCUUCGGAGUUAGUGGCGGACGGGUGAGUAACACGUGGGAACGUGCCUUUAGGUUCGGAAUAACUCAGGGAAACUUGUGCUAAUACCGAAUGUGCCCUUCGGGGGAAAGAUUUAUCGCCUUUAGAGCGGCCCGCGUCUGAUUAGCUAGUUGGUGAGGUAAUGGCUCACCAAGGCGACGAUCAGUAGCUGGUCUGAGAGGAUGAUCAGCCACAUUGGGACUGGGACACGGCCCAAACUCCUAUGGGAGGCAGCAGUGGGGAAUCUUGGGCAAUGGGCGAAAGCCUGACGCAGCCAUGCCGCGUGAAUGAUGAAGGUCUUAGGAUUGUAAAAUUCUUUUGUGCGGGAAGAUAAUGACGGUACCGCAAGAAUAAGCCCCGGCUAACUUCGUGCCAGCCGCCGCCGUAA
RNAcentral lists this ribosomal RNA (449 nucleotides) under uncultured bacterium. RNAcentral's name for it is "partial 16S ribosomal RNA". It matches the Rfam family "Bacterial small subunit ribosomal RNA", at positions 29 to 523 of the family's 1533-position model. The record is from RNAcentral.